GCCCCUGUAGCUCAACGGUUAGAGCAGCAGACUCAUAAUCUGUUGGUUGGAGGUUCGAAUCCUCCUGGGGGCACCA
This 76-nucleotide transfer RNA is filed under the name Acidobacteriota bacterium. RNAcentral's name for it is "tRNA-Ile". It matches the Rfam family "tRNA". Rfam says of the family: Transfer RNA (tRNA) molecules are approximately 80 nucleotides in length. Their secondary structure includes four short double-helical elements and three loops (D, anti-codon, and T loops). Further hydrogen bonds mediate the characteristic L-shaped molecular structure. tRNAs have two regions of fundamental functional importance: the anti-codon, which is responsible for specific mRNA codon recognition, and the 3' end, to which the tRNAs corresponding amino acid is attached (by aminoacyl-tRNA synthetases). tRNAs cope with the degeneracy of the genetic code in two manners: having more than one tRNA (with a specific anti-codon) for a particular amino acid; and 'wobble' base-pairing, i.e. permitting non-standard base-pairing at the 3rd anti-codon position. The record is from RNAcentral. RNAcentral also lists the same sequence under 1 other name. Lineage: Bacteria; Pseudomonadati; Acidobacteriota.